CUUCUGACCUUGUAGGAGUGGUUAGGAUCUGGCGGCCGGAAGAUAUCGUGCUGUACGGAAAGAUAGGGCCCCUCCCCUGGUAGCCAAUAGCAUUUAGUUUGUG
Long non-coding RNA from Pygoscelis adeliae (Adelie penguin), 103 nucleotides. RefSeq lists it as uncharacterized. The record is from RefSeq and is a predicted model, not a curated record. The transcript is spliced from 3 exons. NCBI's taxonomy places the organism in Eukaryota, Metazoa, Chordata, Aves, Sphenisciformes, Spheniscidae.